Molecule: ribosomal RNA, 497 nt
Filed under: uncultured bacterium
Lineage: Bacteria
Description: partial 16S ribosomal RNA
Rfam family: Bacterial small subunit ribosomal RNA
Source: RNAcentral
GACGAACGCUGGCGGCGUGCCUAAUACAUGCAAGUUGAGCGAUGAAGAUUGGUGCUUGCACCAAUUUGAAGAGCAGCGAACGGGUGAGUAACGCGUGGGGAAUCUGCCUUUGAGCGGGGGACAACAUUUGGAAACGAAUGCUAAUACCGCAUAACAACUUUAAACAUAAGUUUUAAGUUUGAAAGAUGCAAUUGCAUCACUCAAAGAUGAUCCCGCGUUGUAUUAGCUAGUUGGUGAGGUAAAGGCUCACCAAGGCGAUGAUACAUAGCCGACCUGAGAGGGUGGUCGGCCACAUUGGGACUGGGACACGGCCCAAACUCCUACGGGAGGCAGCAGUAGGGAAUCUUCGGCAAUGGACGCAAGUCUGACCGAGCAACGCCGCGUGAGUGAAGAAGGUUUUCGGAUCGUAAAACUCUGUUGGUAGAGAAGAACGUUGGUGAGAGUGGAAAGCUCAUCAAGUGACGGUAACUACCCAGAAAGGGACGGCUAACUACGUG